Chiloscyllium plagiosum (whitespotted bambooshark) is the source of this 1632-nucleotide long non-coding RNA. RefSeq lists it as uncharacterized. The record is from RefSeq and is a predicted model, not a curated record. Lineage: Eukaryota; Metazoa; Chordata; Chondrichthyes; Orectolobiformes; Hemiscylliidae.
UCCCUGUCACAUUUCCCCCGGUCACAUUUCACCUUUAAGUAAGGGUUCGAGAAGUAUUCAUCUAAAGCAGAAAAAAAACUAACAGCUUAAAAACAAAACACAAAGAACUGCGGAUGCUGGAAAUCAGAAACAAAAGGAUAAAUUGCUUGAGAAACUCAAGUCCAGCAGCAUGUGUGGAGAGAAAACAGAGUUAACGAGCAAGAAAGUUAGGCAACAGGGCUUAAAGGAGGCCAUUCGGCCUCUCUUGUCUGUGCCCUCAUCAUAUUCUGCUUGCAGUCCUGCAAGUGUUUUUAAUUGCAUGUAUUGUUUCUGUUGAUCACGUUAAAUUUAUGUCUCCAGGUUCUGUUUUUUGUCAACAAGCUGUCCACUUUUUGGAGACCUCUCAAGACCUAGAAAGAUUUCUCCAAUCUAUCCCCCAUAACAAGUGCUUCAUCCCUGGACUCAUUCUCAUAAGCAUUCUCUAAAACGUUUGCAUCCUUCCUGAAGUUUAAUGCCCAGAAAAAGAUGCAAUAGACUAGUUGAAUCUGAGCCAGUGUUUUAUACAGGUGCAUUAGCAUAACUUCAAAAAGUGUGGCACCAGCUACAGAGAGAAAAGUUAAUGUUUCAAAUAUAAUUUUUUAAUGAACCCUCUGGCUCUUUGUAAAUCACUAUUAAUCUGACUCUUCAGCAAGAGGAAUUAUUUACUCCAUCAAACUGGUCAUGAUUUCGAAAACCUGUUGAACCUCUUGACCUCUGUUAAAUUGACAGCAACACCAGCUUCUCCAGUCUCGUCACACAACUGAAGCCAUCUCAUCUCGCUGAGGUCUUGGAGGCUGCUGAGUAAGGUCUUCACUUUCUGACUUCAGUUGAGCUACCAUUGCUCUCAUACAGCCCUUCAUAGAGCAGAGUGUGGCCUGUGAAGAGGAAACAUCAGUGCGGAAGCAGCUCUUACACAAAUGUUUAACUCCCGGUGCCAUCGCUUUAAGGACUCUUGUGGUGCAGGAGUAGCAUCCCUAACUCUGGGCCAGGAGGUAUGGGUUCAAGUCCCAUCUGAUCAAGAGGUGUGCCUGAACAAGCUGACUGAAAAUAUCUACACAGCAUAGAGGAAGGCUCUUAUGGUGCCGUGGUUGUGUCCCUACGUCUGGGCCAGAAAGUCUACUUCAGAGGGAGAUAUGAACACACUUGAACAUGUGGAUUAAAACUACACAGUAUAGAAAUGAUUAAAUUGGUUCCUUCUGGCAUUUAAGCUCUAUUGGUAAUUUUCCACCUUCAUUAAAUUAAACCCAUCAUCAUGUCCACCUUCUUUAAACUAAACCUAUCAGCAUGUCCUUCUAUCAGUUUCUCAUUUCGUAGUUUCUUCUUGAAUAAAUCUUUGCUACUUGCCUUAAUCAUAUCGCAAUGUAUUCCACAUUCUUUGGACAGAGGUUCCUCCUGAAUCCCUACUAGACAUUUUACUUACCAUGUUAGACAUUAUGGUCUCUACUUUGGACUCCCCACAAGUGCAAAUAUCUUUGCUGCAUUUAUACUUCAUUUUCAAUUACAUCAACCCUUUCAUUAUCUUAGAGCCAUCCCCAGCAGCUGUCUCUUUUAUAUGCAGAAGACCCGCACCCUACACAAUUCUACCAGGAAUGUCAUUCUUUUAUUUCUUCUAGC